GGCCUCUGGGCCUCGUGUCCAUCAGCCAAAUAACUCACGUAAACAUCACUAUGUAUUCACAGGGUCAUGGUUUCGGGAGUGUUCUAAGUGUUUAAAGUAUUCCAAUCAGAAAGCUGGAUGUUCUGUCACUCUACCCAGGAGUGCAGUCAGAAUAAUUUCUAAUUCAAGAGGACACUGGUCCAUGGCUAUCUUUCUUUUCUUACUGUAUCUUGUAACUCUUCUCUGGUGCUUUAUCGAGAUUUACCAGAUGGCCCUGGAUUGAUUUGCCAAAGAUCCACCCAGGAAUCCUGACUCAUUACAGAAGGGUGGAGAUUUUCUGAGCUAAGCGAGAGACUUUUCCUCAGAGGUCAUUUUCUCUUCCACUUCUCCUGAGGCAACUCCUGCAGCCAGCCCCCAAGGACAGAAUCAGAUAAUAGGAAUUCAAAAACCUAACUUAACUGUGAGCCAUGUUACAAGCUUCAAGACCUUCAGCAACAGCCAGUUUUACUGAG
Molecule: long non-coding RNA, 491 nt
Filed under: Pan troglodytes (chimpanzee)
Lineage: Eukaryota; Metazoa; Chordata; Mammalia; Primates; Hominidae
Description: long non-coding RNA NONPTRT016261
Source: RNAcentral